AGACGGGAGAGACUAACAGGAUUCCCCUAGUAACUGCGAGUGAAGCGGGAAAAGCUCAAAUUUAAAAUCUGGCAGUCUCUGGCUGUYCGAGUUGUAAUCUAGAGAAGUAAUGCCCGUGCUGGACCGUGUAUAAGUCUCCUGGGAUGGGGCGUCAUAGAGGGUGAGAAUCCCGUCUUUGACACGGACUACCAGUGCAUUGUGGUAUGCUCUCAAAGAGUCGAGUUGUUUGGGAAUGCAGCUCAAAAUGGGUGGUAAAUUCCAUCUAAAGCUAAAUAUUGGCGAGAGACCGAUAGCGAACAAGUACCGUGAGGGAAAGAUGAAAAGAACUUUGGAAAGAGAGUUAAACAGUACGUGAAAUUGCUGAAAGGGAAACGCUUGAAGUCAGUCACGUUGGCCGGGAAUCAGCCUUGCUUUUGCAUGGUGUACUUUCUGGUUGAUGGGUCAGCAUCAAUUUUGACYGCUGGAAAAAGGCCUGGGGAAUGUGGCAGCUUCGGCUGUGUUAUAGCCCCUAGUCACAUACAGUGGUUGGGAUUGAGGAACUCAGCACGCCGCAAGGCCGGGUUUCGACCACGUUCGUGCUUAGGAUGCUGGCAUAAUGGCUUUAAGYGACCCGUCUUGAAACACGGACCAAGGAGUCUAACAUGCCUGCGAGUAUUUGGGUGGAAAACCCAAGUGCGUAAUGAAAGUGAAAGUUGAGAUCCCUGUCGUGGGGAGCAUCGAUGCCCGGACCAGAACUUUUGGGACGGAUCCGCGGUGGAGCAUGUAUGUUGGGACCCGAAAGAUGGUGAACUAUGCCUGAAUAGGGUGAAGCCAGAGGAAACUCUGGUGGAGGCUCGUAGCGAUUCUGACGUGCAAAUCGAUCGUCAAAUUUGGGUAUAGGGGCGAAAGACUAAUCGACCAUCUAUGUCCCC
RNAcentral lists this ribosomal RNA (911 nucleotides) under Agaricus sp. RNAcentral's name for it is "LSU rRNA". It matches the Rfam family "Eukaryotic large subunit ribosomal RNA", at positions 52 to 952 of the family's 3401-position model. Lineage: Eukaryota; Fungi; Basidiomycota; Agaricomycetes; Agaricales; Agaricaceae. The record is from RNAcentral.